RNAcentral lists this ribosomal RNA (440 nucleotides) under uncultured bacterium. RNAcentral describes it as "partial 16S ribosomal RNA". It matches the Rfam family "Bacterial small subunit ribosomal RNA", at positions 338 to 795 of the family's 1533-position model. The record is from RNAcentral.
CCUACGGUAGGCAGCAGUGGGGGAUAUUGCACAAUGGGGGGAACCCUGAUGCAGCGACGCCGCGUGUGGGAAGACGGUCCUCUGGAUUGUAAACCACUGUCCCCAGGGACGAAGAUGACGGUACCUGGGGAGGAAGCUCCGGCUAACUGCGUGCCAGCAGCCGCGGUAAUACGUAGGGAGCGAGCGUUGACCGGAAUUACUGGGUGUAAAGGGAGCGUAGGCGGGACUGCAAGUUGGGUGUAAAAUCUACCGGCUCAACCGGUAGCCGCACUCAAAACUGCAGUUCUUGAGUGAAGUAGAGGCAGGCGGAAUUCCUAGUGUAGCGGUGAAAUGCGUAGAUAUUAGGAGGAACACCAGUGGCGAAGGCGACCUGCUGGGCUUUUACUGACGCUGAGGCUCGAAAGUGUGGGGAGCAAACAGGAUUAGAUACCCCAGUAGUC